GAGACAAAAUUGACUUUUGUGAGACAAAAUUGACAAAAUUGAAAUGAAUUUUGUCUCACAAAAGUCAAUUUUGUCUCAUAAAAGUC
This 86-nucleotide small RNA is filed under the name Mytilus galloprovincialis (Mediterranean mussel). Lineage: Eukaryota; Metazoa; Mollusca; Bivalvia; Mytilida; Mytilidae. The record is from RNAcentral.